GACGGUGGGGUCUUUCCCGGUUUCAACACAUCUGUACAGUGCCAGUCAGUCAGUCAAUUGUAUUUACUGAGGACUUACUGUGUGCGGAGCACUGUACUAGGCACCUGGGAGACUACAAUAUAGCAAUAUAAUAGAUACAUUCCCCACCCACAACGAUCUUGAGGGCUAGAGGGGAUCUUAGAGUCUGACUCACAAUCUGCACAAUUCCCCUCUGUCAUGCGGCACAGAGAGGCUCAGAGGCUCAGCUAAAGUCACACAGUAAGCAGCCCUACCAGCUGGAAGGGGGCUCCGGUUUGAAACAGGUCUCAGCUCCAGGCAUUUUCUGAGGUGGAGAGGGGAUGGCGUGAGGGUCUUGUCCCGUGUUCUUGUACUUGAGCUGCCCCUCGUGAGAUCCCAAACUGUGGGGUCUGAUCUAAAUCCGAUGAAAAGGAGCAGGGGUGGGGCUGACACUAAUCAAACCAUCUGCGUCUGCUGGCUUAUCAGCUUCUUUCUCAGCCGGCAACCUCGCUGGAGCUCAACUGGACUAAGGCCCGCCUUCCCUCCUGAGUCACCUCGGGGCCCGCCCGGCCUUGCGGUGCUUACACCUGGUGGGAAACGAGACACAGAGAGAAGGUGGUGGUUGCAGGGGAGGACGCUUCUAACACCCUGGGUCUGA
Molecule: long non-coding RNA, 655 nt
Filed under: Ornithorhynchus anatinus (platypus)
Lineage: Eukaryota; Metazoa; Chordata; Mammalia; Monotremata; Ornithorhynchidae
Description: lncRNA (ENSOANG00000043856.1)
Source: RNAcentral